CUGGCCGGGCUGGGACUGUAUCUGGAGGUCGGAGCAGAGGAAAAGUGAAGCCAACGGGUGCAGCAGAGCGAGAGGAGCUGCCCAGAAGACUCUGACAGGGACAGGCAGAGAGGGAACAGUGCUCCACUGGGCAAAUACACAAAUAUGGCUGCUAAAUCUCUGUUCAGCCUUCUCUGCAUCCUAUCAGGGAUUGCCUAUCCAGCAUCUGCCGCCAGGCUUGGGGAACAGCAGCAGACAUUCCCGAAUUGUAAAAAGGGAUUUUUCCUGAGUGAGCGAAACCAGUGCUUUCCGUGUAACUGCAAAAGCCACGCAGACUCCUGUGAAGACAUCACUGGUGUUUGCAGACCAAUGUUCUCUCUUCAGAACUGCAGGGAUCACAGUACAGGAGAUUUCUGUGAGAUGUGUGAGGAUGGCUACAUGGUUGCCCCCAGCCGAGAUGGAAGACACACCUGCCGCCCCUGCGCCUGCCCCCUGUCCCUUCCCUCCAAUAACUUUGCAGUGCACUGUGACGGAGGAGCUGCCGUUCUGCGCUGCAAGUGCAAAGAGGGCUACGCUGGACAUCUGUGUGAGAGGUGUACUCCAGGUUACUACGGCAAGCCCAUGGAGAUUGGUAAUUCCUGUAAGAGGUGCGACUGUAACGGAAACUCCGACCCUAACCUGAUCUUCAGCGAGUGCCACAACGUGACGGGCCACUGCCAGCACUGCUGGGGUAACACCGGGGGGGCCAAGUGCGAAAGGUGUGCCCCCGGUUUCUACGGCGACGCCAUCAGUGCCAAGAACUGCAGAGAUUGUGAGUGCAGUGAAUGUGGCACCUCCUCAUGCGACGACAGGACAGGUGUGUGUCACUGCAAGCCGGGAGUCACAGGACGCCUCUGCGACCAGUGUGAGGAGGGCUACUCUGGUUUCUCCAGCUGUCAGGGCUGUCGGAGGUGUGAAUGCGGGCCGGCCUCCCUCCGCUCCACCUGCCACCCCCUCACCCACAGCUGCUCGUGCCGCCCUGGGGCCGGGGGCCGUUACUGUGAGCGCUGCCUCCCCGGCUACUGGGACUAUAUCCCCUCUGGCUGCCAGAAGUGUGACUGUGAGAGCGGACACUGUGAUAUGCAUACAGGGGAGUGCCUGUCAGAGGCUGCUGUCAACCUGUGCAACAUCAGUUGUGAUGAGUGCAUUUGGCAUCUGAUUGGAGACUUGCGGCAGUCCAAUAAGACGCUGGACCAGCUUAAAGUGGCAGUGCUGAACAUCUCCUCCGGGGCUGCAGCCAACGACAGGCUCAAAUACUACAACUACACUGCUCUACGACUGCAGACUCAGUUUCAAGGCUGGAGGAACAAGUCAGCUGUGAUGAAGGCCCAGGCGGGGGAGCUGGAGAAGAACACAGACGCGGUGGUGUUGGACAUCAAACAGCUGGGAGACUCGGAGCGUGUGGUGCAGGCUCUGGGGGAGAAGCUGGACAACGACACGCUGCAGACCUUCACCCUGGCUGAACAGCUCAGCAGUGACCUCACCGACCUCAACAUACGCAUCGAAGAGAUGAUCCAUGACUGGGAGCUGUACAGUGUGCAGCAGGAAGUGGAUCCAGAGCUGGCCAGGCAGAGCGCAGAGCGGGCCCACAGGAUGCUGACGUGGAUGAGGACCCUGGACCUGUCCCCACGAGAGCCCACCGCCACUGACGAGUCCACUGAAGCCCACGACUUGCUGAGGAGAAUCCGCCAGUUGGAGAAGAAGUUGAUCAUCACAGACGGCAGACUCCCUCCUGUCAGGGAGAUUUUUUUGCGCUUUUCCAGCAAGCUGUCGGACGCUGAGGGCUUCCUGCAGAAAGCAGCCAGCAGCCUUCAGGAGACGGAGGACAGGAACAGAGCCAGGGUCCUCAAAUUCCAGAGGAAUGAGGCCAGGAAGCAGAGGCUGACAGAGGAAUACGCUGCUGUCAACGACACACUGGAGACAUCCAGAGGCUCCAUCUCUGACACUGAGAGGACUGUGGCUGAGAUGGAGGCUAUGGUGCAGAACGUGAGUCAGUACCAUGCAGCGAUUGAUGGUGCCGGCCAAAAGCUGACGGAGAAGACUGAGCGUCUGGUGCUGGCUGACAGAGAUCUGGUGCAGAGGGCUGAUGACCACGCUGAAGACCUGGACCGCCAGGCCAACCAGCUGGAGGAGGAUCUGAGAGAGAGUGACGCCAAUGGCUUUGUGCAGAAAGCCAUCAGCGCUGCCAACGUCUACAAUAACAUUGUGAAAUACAUCGAUGAUGCCAACAUCACCUCGCUCACCACACACAACUUAUCCCAAAGAGCUGAAGAAGCCAUCAAUGGAAUCAACAUGCAGCUCGGGAACCUGGUGACACAGAGCAGCAACGUCUUCAAAGAGUCUGUUUCUCUACAUUCAGAACAAAAUGAGGUAGAAGCAGAGGUGAUGGACAAGCUGAAAUACAUUGAGGAGACCAAAGAAACCAUGGAUAAAAACACGAAAAAACUUGCAGAAAUAGUGGACAAUAUCAGUGGGAUUCAUACAGACAGAACACCACAACGACUGGAGUUCACCCAGAAUGUGGCUGAGGCGACUCUCAACCGCUCAGCAGAAGUCCUUCAAACCAUAACCCCCAUCAGCAUCAAGGUGGAGGAGUGGGCCAACAACAUGCGGAACAAUGAAUACUCUACAACUGCCUACGAAGAGGCCGUCCUCUCUGCCGGCCAAGCAGUGGAGAACCUAGAUGUUCUGGUUCCUGUGCUGCUGGACAAGCUUAAGGUGGUGGAGCAGAAGAAGCCUUUUAACAACGUGACCACCAACAUCCUGAGGAUCAGAGAGCUGAUAGCCCAAGCCAGGAGUGUGGCCAAGAAGGUGCAAGUGUCCAUGAAGUUUAACGGUCAGUCUUCAGUGGAGGUCCAUCCUCACAGCAACCUGGAAGACCUGAAGACAGUGACGUCCAUCAGUUUGUUCAUGAGAGUGGACCCUGACAAGGAUCCCAUUGAGGACCGCUUCAUCUUAUACCUGGGAGACAGAAAUGGUAAGAAAGACUACAUGGGACUGGCUAUCAAGAAUGACAACCUGGUGUACGUGUACAACCUGGGGGGAGAAGAUGUUGAGAUUCCACUGAGUUCAAAGCCUGUGAGCCAGUGGCCCGCAGUCUUCAACUACAUCAAAGUAGAGAGGCUGGGCAGACAUGGAAAAGUCUUUCUGACCAUCCCCAGCCAGAGCUCCACAGAUGAGCAGAAGUUCAUCCAGAAAGGAGAAGCUCCGGGCGCUGACUCACUGUUCGACAUCGACCCCAAGGAUAUUGUGUUCUUUGUAGGUGGCGUCCCAUCGGAUAUCAGGCUCCCACCUCUUCUGAGUCUUGCUCCUUUUGUGGGCUGCAUCGAGUUGGGUUCGCUGAACAAUGACGUGAUCAGUCUUUACAAUUUCAAAGACACUCACAGAAUGGACUUGAUUACAUCAACACCGUGCCCCAGGUACAAGUUGGCAUUUUCCCAGAGUCGCAUUGCCAGCUACCUGUUUGAUGGAACGGGCUACGCACUCAUCAAUAAUAUUGAGAGGAGGGGCCGGUUUGGUGUGGUCACCAGAUUUGAUAUAGCAGUGCGAACUGUGGCAAACGAUGGCGUCCUUCUCCUUAUGGUCCAGGGGGAUAAUUUCUUCCUUUUAGAGUUAAAGAAUGGCUUCCUGCGCCUGAUGUAUGACUUUGGGUUCAGCAAAGGGCCUCAACUUUUAGAGGAUAAAAUACCAAAGCUCCAAAUAAAUGAUGCACGAUACCAUGAGGUGUCAGUAAUCUACCAUCAGUCAAAGAAGGUUAUCCUGCUGGUGGACAAGAGCCAUGUUAAAUCUUUGGAGAAUCCAAAAACCACACUGCCUUUCUCCGAUAUCUACAUAGGUGGGGCUCCCUCAAGCAUUUUAAAAUCCAGGCCGGAGCUGUCUGCUGUCCUGGGUCUGAAAGGCUGUGUGAAAGGCUUCCAGUUCCAGAAAAAAGACUUCAAUCUGCUGGAGGAGCCUGGCACCAUUGGCAUCAGCAGUGGCUGCCCCGAGGAGUCCUUUAUGUCCCGUAAAGCCUAUUUCACUGGUGAGAGCUACCUGGGAUCAACAGCCAAGAUCUCGCCCUUCGACAACUUUGAGGGAGGACUGAAUUUCAGAACACUGCAGCCGGCCGGACUCCUGUUCUACACGAAUGAAGGGUCAGAAGAGUUCAGCAUAUCCCUGGAGAAUGGAGCCGUGGUGCUGACCUGCAGAGGCACGCGGGUUAAAUCACACAAGAAACAAUACAAUGAUGGAAGGACACACUUCUUAGUGGCCUCAGUAAACAGUCAGAAGUAUUCACUGUUGGUGGACGACAAAGACAAGCAGGAGAAGAAACGUCCAUCAUCUGCCCCGAAAGCCUCCUCAGGUUCUGCUGUACAGACCUUCUACUACGGAGGCUCUCCCAGCAGCAGCUUCAAGAACUUCACCGGCUGCAUCAGCUACGCCUACAUCAACAGACAGGACCGGGAUAUAGAGCCUGAGGACUUCCAGCGGUACACAGAGAAGGUGCAGACAUCCCUGCAGGACUGCCCCGUCCAGCGGCCCCCUGCUGCUCUGCUGUCCAGGCACAGGGAACAUAGUUCUAGAGCCAGACAGAGCAUGUCACAGAAGGUCAGCAGGGAGUCCAGCCUCCCCCUGGGCCUGAUGGAACUGAGGAGUGAUGAGCAGGAGCCGUCCGAGCUCAGCACGGAGACCUGCUAUCUCUCUUCAAGUCCAAGGGCAACCCGCCAAGCCUUCCACUACGGCGGCAUCGCCAACAGCAGGCAGCACCUCACAAACCUCCCGGAGUCCCUCUCUGAAAGGUCCCACUUCUCCUUGUCCCUGAAGACCAACUCAUCGUUUGGCCUCAUCUUUUAUGUAUCUGACGUCCAAGAGGACAACUUCAUGGCCCUGUUCCUGGCCCACGGGAAGCUCGUAUACACAUUCAAUGUAGAAGAGCAAAGAGUCAAAAUCAGGAGCGAGGAGAAAUACAAUGACGGUGCAUGGCACAAUGUGGUUUUUAUCCGUGAUGGGAGUAUGGGCCGGUUGAUUAUUGAUGGGCUCACAGUGCUGGAGGACAGAGCUCAGGGAAGCAAUGUCUCCUGGCAUGUCAGCAGUCCCCUGUUUGUGGGAGGGGUUCCUCCUGGGAGAGCCCAAAAGAAUAUUCAGAGAAACUCUGCAUACAGCUUCACCGGCUGUCUGAAGAACCUGCAGCUCGAUGGCCAGUGGCUGUCCUCGGUGACAGAGACUUUUGGGGUCACCCCAUGCUUCGAGGGACUUUCUGAGGCGGGAACGUUCUUCUCAGAGGAAGGAGGAUACGUCCUGCUUGAUGAGACUUUUGACCUCGGGUUGAGGUUUGAGCUGGUGAUGGAGGUGCGCCCCCGGGUGCCAUCUGGGAUGCUGCUGCAUGUGCAAACAGCAGAGGGCCAUUUCACAAUUUUUCUUGAUCAAGGAGUGGUGGUGGUUUUGUGAAUGAUGGGUCUCAUGAGUUCUUCACAAAGGUGAAACCAAGACAGAGUCUGUGUGCUGGCCACUGGAACAGAAUCACUGUGAUCCGUGAUGCCAACGUUGUCCAGCUGGACGUGGAUUCUGAGGUCAACCAUGUGGUUGGACCUCUGAACCCCAGCUCCACAGAUGCCAAGAAGCCGGUGUUUAUCGGUGGAGCCCAAGAUCCCUUCCUCCCAGAGGGCAUUGCCACCAGGAAGGCUUACGUAGGCUGUAUGAGGAACCUGACCAUCAAUAACAGCCGAGUGAGCUUCAGCAAAGCGGCUCUGGUCAGUGGAGCGGUCAGUGUUGGAACCUGUCCAGCAGUAUAAACCAUCACUGAAACACAUGAAAAACUCUCGCUGGUUAACAUUCAAUAAAAAAUGUGUCAGAUGUUU
Trematomus bernacchii (emerald rockcod) is the source of this 5855-nucleotide RNA transcript. It is a transcript of the gene named laminin, alpha 4, with no coding region annotated. The record is from RefSeq and is a predicted model, not a curated record. Lineage: Eukaryota; Metazoa; Chordata; Actinopteri; Perciformes; Nototheniidae. The transcript is spliced from 40 exons.